This 1178-nucleotide ribosomal RNA is filed under the name Salmonella enterica. RNAcentral's name for it is "bacterial LSU rRNA". It matches the Rfam family "Bacterial large subunit ribosomal RNA", at positions 1 to 1211 of the family's 2925-position model. RNAcentral also lists the same sequence under 1 other name. Lineage: Bacteria; Pseudomonadati; Pseudomonadota; Gammaproteobacteria; Enterobacterales; Enterobacteriaceae. The record is from RNAcentral.
GGGUUGUGAGGUUAAGCGACUAAGCGUACACGGUGGAUGCCCUGGCAGUCAGAGGCGAUGAAGGGCGUGCUAAUCUGCGAUAAGCGCCGGUAAGGUGAUAUGAACCGUUAUAACCGGCGAUACCCGAAUGGGGAAACCCAGUGUGACUCGUCACACUAUCAUUAACUGAAUCCAUAGGUUAAUGAGGCGAACCGGGGGAACUGAAACAUCUAAGUACCCCGAGGAAAAGAAAUCAACCGAGAUUCCCCCAGUAGCGGCGAGCGAACGGGGAGGAGCCCAGAGCCUGAAUCAGCAUGUGUGUUAGUGGAAGCGUCUGGAAAGGCGCGCGAUACAGGGUGACAGCCCCGUACACAAAAGCGCAUGUGCUGUGAGCUCGAUGAGUAGGGCGGGACACGUGAUAUCCUGUCUGAAUAUGGGGGGACCAUCCUCCAAGGCUAAAUACUCCUGACUGACCGAUAGUGAACCAGUACCGUGAGGGAAAGGCGAAAAGAACCCCGGCGAGGGGAGUGAAAAAGAACCUGAAACCGUGUACGUACAAGCAGUGGGAGCACCCUUUGGGGUGUGACUGCGUACCUUUUGUAUAAUGGGUCAGCGACUUAUAUUCUGUAGCAAGGUUAACCGUAUAGGGGAGCCGAAGGGAAACCGAGUCUUAACCGGGCGUUAAGUUGCAGGGUAUAGACCCGAAACCCGGUGAUCUAGCCAUGGGCAGGUUGAAGGUUGGGUAACACUAACUGGAGGACCGAACCGACUAAUGUUGAAAAAUUAGCGGAUGACCUGUGGCUGGGGGUGAAAGGCCAAUCAAACCGGGAGAUAGCUGGUUCUCCCCGAAAGCUAUUUAGGUAGCGCCUCGUGAAUUCAUCUCCGGGGGUAGAGCACUGUUUCGGCUAGGGGGCCAUCCCGGCUUACCAACCCGAUGCAAACUGCGAAUACCGGAGAAUGUUAUCACGGGAGACACACGGCGGGUGCUAACGUCCGUCGUGAAGAGGGAAACAACCCAGACCGCCAGCUAAGGUCCCAAAGUCAUGGUUAAGUGGGAAACGAUGUGGGAAGGCCCAGACAGCCAGGAUGUUGGCUUAGAAGCAGCCAUCAUUUAAAGAAAGCGUAAUAGCUCACUGGUCGAGUCGGCCUGCGCGGAAGAUGUAACGGGGCUAAACCAUGCACCGAAGCUGCGGCAGCGA